This 402-nucleotide unclassified non-coding RNA is filed under the name Hevea brasiliensis (rubber tree). Lineage: Eukaryota; Viridiplantae; Streptophyta; Magnoliopsida; Malpighiales; Euphorbiaceae. The record is from RNAcentral.
UCUCCACGUUCAAAAGGAAGACCUUGAUGCUGGUGCUCUUUUUGUCCUCAAAUCCAAAGGAUCAUGGAUGCAUUGUGGAUACCACUUGACAACAUCAAUAGUAGCACCACCACUACUCAGUCUGCCAUAUGCCUUGACAUUUCUUGGAUGGGUUGGUGGAAUUUCAUGCUUGAUUAUUGGAGCUUUGGUCACUUUCUAUUCGUACAAUUUGUUGUCUCUUGUUCUUGAACACCAUGCUCAUUUGGGUCAUCGCCAACUUCGCUUUAGGGACAUGGCUAAUCACAUCUUGGGGCCAAGAUGGGGCAGGUAUUAUGUGGGCCCAAUUCAAUUCACAGUGUGUUUUGGUGCUGUUGUUGCUUCCACACUUCUUGGAGGCCAAUGCAUGAUAGCAAGUAAAUUGCC